Molecule: long non-coding RNA, 737 nt
Organism: Erinaceus europaeus (western European hedgehog)
Lineage: Eukaryota; Metazoa; Chordata; Mammalia; Eulipotyphla; Erinaceidae
Exons: 3
Source: RefSeq, a predicted model, not a curated record
CCGCAAUUUGCACCCUGCCUGCUCGAAAGCUUCGUCCUGGGCCAGGCAUCUUGGUUUAGGGGAAGGAAGCAGCGAAUGGAGGAAGGUUAUGCAUUCUGCUGCUUCUGCCUCCGGAAGCUAAGUGCCUCCCUCUCUACCAUCUGAGCUAAGUACAGAGCUGCGCAGAUGGUUCUGCUGAGUUGGUGAGUUCAGGUUAGAUCAAGGGAAUGGAAUAACAGUGUCCCCAUACUAACAACGUUGGCUUUUGCCUGAAGUGUCAGCUACACCUAUUAUACUCAUAAACUGUUUCCUUUAAGGAGCUAUCUCUUGACUAUUGACCAUCACAAUUGAAUUUGAAAGUGCUUGGAUCUCCCCCACACCUAUGGACAUCUAAUCUUUGACAAAAGGGCCCAGACUAUGAAAUGGGGAAAGCAGAGACUCUUCAACAAAUGGUGUUGGAAACAAUGGGUUGAAACAUGCAGAAGAAUGAAACUGAACCAUUGUAUUUCACCAAAUACAAAAGUAAAUUCCAAGUGGAUCAAGGACUUGGGUGUUAGACCAGAAACUAUCAGAUACUUAGAGGGAAAUAUUGGCAGAACUCUUUUAUGCAUACAUUUUAAAGACAUCUUCAAUGAAACGAAUCCAAUUACAAAGAAGACUAAGGCAAGUAUAAACUCAUGGGACUGCAUCAAAUCAAAAAGCUUCUGCACAGCAAAAGAAACCACUAACCAAACCAAAAGACCCCUCACAGAAUGGGA